RNAcentral lists this transfer RNA (76 nucleotides) under Bacillota bacterium. RNAcentral's name for it is "tRNA-Val". It matches the Rfam family "tRNA". From Rfam's summary of the family: Transfer RNA (tRNA) molecules are approximately 80 nucleotides in length. Lineage: Bacteria; Bacillati; Bacillota. The record is from RNAcentral. RNAcentral also lists the same sequence under 1 other name.
GGGCGAUUAGCUCAGCUGGGAGAGCACCUGCCUUACAAGCAGGGGGUCGGCAGUUCAAACCUGUCAUCGCCCACCA